UUGAACGCUGGCGGCAGGCCUAACACAUGCAAGUCGAGCGGCAGCGCGGGGCAACCUGGCGGCGAGCGGCGGACGGGUGAGUAACGCGUAGGAAUCUACCCAGUAGCGGGGGAUAGCCCGGGGAAACUCGGAUUAAUACCGCAUACGCCCUAAGGGGGAAAGCAGGGGAUCUUCGGACCUUGCACUAUUGGCAGAGCCUGCGUUGGAUUAGCUAGUUGGUAGGGUAAAGGCCUACCAAGGCAACGAUCCAUAACUGGUCUGAGAGGAUGAUCAGUCACACCGGAACUGAGACACGGUCCGGACUCCUACGGGAGGCAGCAGUGGGGAAUAUUGGACAAUGGGGGCAACCCUGAUCCAGCCAUGCCGCGUGCAGGAUGAAGGCCUUCGGGUUGUAAACUGCUUUUGUACGGAACGAAAAGACUCUUUCUAAUAAAGAGGGUCCAUGACGGUACCGUAAGAAUAAGCACCGGCUAACUACGUGCCAGCAGCCGCCGUAA
This 497-nucleotide ribosomal RNA is filed under the name uncultured bacterium. Its description in RNAcentral is "partial 16S ribosomal RNA". It matches the Rfam family "Bacterial small subunit ribosomal RNA", at positions 30 to 523 of the family's 1533-position model. The record is from RNAcentral.